ACAGCAGUCGCCGCGGGAAUACGAAGGGUGCAAGCGUUAAUCGGAAUUACUGGGCGUAAAGCGUGCGUAGGCGGUGAGUUAAGUCUGCUGUGAAAUCCCCGGGCUCAACCUGGGAAUGGCAGUGGAUACUGGCUCGCUAGAGUGUGUCAGAGGAUGGUGGAAUUCCCGGUGUAGCGGUGAAAUGCGUAGAGAUCGGGAGGAACAUCAGUGGCGAAGGCGGCCAUCUGGGACAACACUGACGCUGAGGCACGAAAGCGUGGGGAGCAAACAGGAUUAGAUACCCCAGUAGUCCCUGUCUCUUAUAC
This 305-nucleotide ribosomal RNA is filed under the name uncultured bacterium. RNAcentral describes it as "partial 16S ribosomal RNA". It matches the Rfam family "Bacterial small subunit ribosomal RNA", at positions 508 to 807 of the family's 1533-position model. The record is from RNAcentral.